GGUUUAUACCAUGCUUCCAAGAAAAGCUCCUAAGCUUCAGAUAACUGGGAACCGUACCCCAAACCGACACAGGUGGUUAGGUAGAGAAUACCAAGGCGCUUGAGAGAACUCGGGUGAAGGAACUAGGCAAAAUGGCACCGUAACUUCGGGAGAAGGUGCGCCGGCGAAGGUGAAGGGCUUGCCCCGUAAGCUUUUGCUGGUCGAAGAUACCAGGCCGCUGCGACUGUUUAUUAAAAACACAGCACUCUGCAAACACGAAAGUGGACGUAUAGGGUGUGACGCCUGCC
This 287-nucleotide ribosomal RNA is filed under the name Acinetobacter baumannii. RNAcentral describes it as "partial 23S ribosomal RNA". It matches the Rfam family "Bacterial large subunit ribosomal RNA", at positions 1592 to 1863 of the family's 2925-position model. The record is from RNAcentral. Lineage: Bacteria; Pseudomonadati; Pseudomonadota; Gammaproteobacteria; Moraxellales; Moraxellaceae.